CUUUGUAGAGGGCACUUGAACAGAAUCCAGCGGCGUCCUUAGUGUAUUUGACACCCACAACUGAUCAUCUAUCAACCUCUCUCCUCUAGCUUAAACUCAGGACUAUGCUGUGCCAUAGAAGCUGAAGAUGCAACUUGGCCCCAAAGCUCUAGUGAAAGCUGUACACACCAUUAAGAACUUACUCUGACUUUUUCACUGCCAGCGCAUGGUGAUAAUAAAAAACAGACCCACACUGGUUUUA
This is a long non-coding RNA of Pan troglodytes (chimpanzee), 241 nucleotides long. RefSeq lists it as uncharacterized. Lineage: Eukaryota; Metazoa; Chordata; Mammalia; Primates; Hominidae. The transcript has 2 exons. The record is from RefSeq and is a predicted model, not a curated record.